Molecule: ribosomal RNA, 467 nt
Filed under: uncultured bacterium
Lineage: Bacteria
Description: partial 16S ribosomal RNA
Rfam family: Bacterial small subunit ribosomal RNA
Source: RNAcentral
GACGAACGCUGGCGGCGUGCUUAACACAUGCAAGUCGAACGGAAAGGCCUCUUUCGGGGGGUACUCGAGUGGCGAACGGGUGAGUAACACGUGAGUAACCUGCCCUUGACUUUGGGAUAACUUCAGGAAACUGGGGCUAAUACCGGAUAGGAGCUCCUGCUGCAUGGUGGGGGUUGGAAAGUUUCGGCGGUUGGGGAUGGACUCGCGGCUUAUCAGCUUGUUGGUGGGGGAGUGGCUUACCAAGGCUUUGACGGGUAGCCGGCCUGAGAGGGUGACCGGCCACAAUGGGACUGAGAUACGGCCCAGACUCCUACGGGGGGCAGCAGUGGGGAAUAUUGCACAAUGGGUGGAAGCCUGAUGCAGCAACGCCGUGUGCGGGAUGACGGCCUUCGGGUUGGAAACCGCCUUCGCUCAUGACGAAGCUUUGUGUGACGGUAGUGGGUAAAGAAGCACCGGCUAACUACGUG